UGGGGAAUUUUGGACAAUGGGGGAAACCCUGAUCCAGCCAUCCCGCGUGUGCGAUGAAGGCCUUCGGGUUGUAAAGCACUUUUGGCAGGAAAGAAACGUCGCGGGUUAAUACCCCGCGAAACUGACGGUACCUGCAGAAUAAGCACCGGCUAACUACGUGCCAGCAGCCGCGGUAAUACGUAGGGUGCAAGCGUUAAUCGGAAUUACUGGGCGUAAAGCGUGCGCAGGCGGUUCGGAAAGAAAGAUGUGAAAUCCCAGAGCUUAACUUUGGGAACUGCAUUUUUAACUACCGGGCUAGAGUGUGUCAGAGGGAGGUGGAAUUCCGCGUGUAGCAGUGAAAUGCGUAGAUAUGCGGAGGAACACCGAUGGCGAAGGCAGCCUCCUGGGAUAACACUGACGCUCAUGCACGAAAGCGUGGGGAGCAAACAGGAUUAGAUACCCUGGUAGUCCACGCCCUAAACGAUGUCAACUAGCUGUUGGGGCCUUCGGGCCUUGGUAGCGCAGCUAACGCGUGAAGUUGACCGCCUGGGGAGUACGGUCGCAAGAUUAAAACUUAAAUGAAUUGAC
Molecule: ribosomal RNA, 567 nt
Filed under: uncultured bacterium
Lineage: Bacteria
Description: partial 16S ribosomal RNA
Rfam family: Bacterial small subunit ribosomal RNA
Source: RNAcentral